RNAcentral lists this ribosomal RNA (374 nucleotides) under uncultured organism. RNAcentral's name for it is "partial 16S ribosomal RNA". It matches the Rfam family "Bacterial small subunit ribosomal RNA", at positions 527 to 896 of the family's 1533-position model. The record is from RNAcentral.
GUAGGCGGCAAGCGUUGUCCGGAAUUAUUGGGCGUAAAGCGCGCGCAGGCGGGGUCCUUUAAGUCUGAUGUGAAAGCCCACGGCUCAACCGUGGAGGGUCAUUGGAAACUGGGGGACUUGAGUACAGAAGAGGAAAGCGGAAUUCCAAGUGUAGCGGUGAAAUGCGUAGAGAUUUGGAGGAACACCAGUGGCGAAGGCGGCUUUCUGGUCUGUAACUGACGCUGAGGCGCGAAAGCGUGGGGAGCAAACAGGAUUAGAUACCCUGGUAGUCCACGCCGUAAACGAUGAGUGCUAAGUGUUAGGGGGUUUCCGCCCCUUAGUGCUGCAGCUAACGCAUUAAGCACUCCGCCUGGGGAGUACGGCCGCAAAGGCUG